CUCACAUGUGUACGCAUUCGGCAUUGGGAUUCUCACUUUUGCUCCUGAUUCUUUGCUCCUGUGAUGUCCCUUGGCUGGGAUGGCCAGCAGUGCCGCUCCCUGCCUUGUUCUGAGGGGGUGUCCUGUAUGAGUCACUGCUGUUUCACUCAAGUUCCUGAGACAGCUCAGGGAGGGCUUCUGUCAAACAGACAAGUUUUGCCUGAAGAAGCUGUGCCCUGUUUCCCUGUCACUUUCCUACCUUACUAAGGUGUUACUUCUUUCUUCUAAAGUCAGUGUCUAAGAUAAACCCCAAACCCCAGGCUCCACAAGCAGAUGAGUAGACAGACAGAUGGACAGAAGAGCAGAGGAGCAGAAGAGUGGCGCGCCAGAGAAGGAGAGAAGAGGAGGAACAUCUGAAUGUCGAGAGGAUUUUGGCUUGGGACGGUCAGUGAGGAGAUUGGCCAUGGGACAGCUGAACUCCAGGGGAAGAUCAUCUUCCCACUCCAUCCCCUUUCCAGCCCUCAUCCAUCCCACUGAGUGCCACCUCCGUCACCCAAUAAAAUCUUUGCAUUCACCAUC
Macaca mulatta (Rhesus monkey) is the source of this 558-nucleotide non-coding RNA. The record is from RefSeq and is a predicted model, not a curated record. Lineage: Eukaryota; Metazoa; Chordata; Mammalia; Primates; Cercopithecidae.